RNAcentral lists this ribosomal RNA (245 nucleotides) under uncultured bacterium. RNAcentral describes it as "partial 16S ribosomal RNA". It matches the Rfam family "Bacterial small subunit ribosomal RNA", at positions 524 to 767 of the family's 1533-position model. The record is from RNAcentral.
GACGAACCGUGCGAACGUUGUUCGGAAUCACUGGGCUUAAAGGGCGCGUAGGCGGCCAGGCACGUCUGGGGUGAAAUCUUUCGGCUUAACCGGAAAAGGGCCCCGGAUACGGCCUGGCUCGAGGGGGAGAGGGGCGGACGGAACUUCCGGUGGAGCGGUGAAAUGCGUUGAUAUCGGAAGGAACGCCGGUGGCGAAAGCGGUCCGCUGGAUCCCUUUCUGACGCUGAGGCGCGAAAGCCAGGGGA